RNAcentral lists this ribosomal RNA (524 nucleotides) under uncultured bacterium. Its description in RNAcentral is "bacterial SSU rRNA". It matches the Rfam family "Bacterial small subunit ribosomal RNA", at positions 376 to 900 of the family's 1533-position model. The record is from RNAcentral.
CGCAGUCUGAUCAGCGAUGCCGCGUGCGGGAUGAAGGCCUUCGGGUUGUAAACCUCUUUCGGCAGGGAAGAAACGAAAGUUCCAACACCUACUGCAAAUGCCCCGGCCUGCUGAAUGACCCCCGGCUAACUACUUGCUAGGGGGCAAGGUAUUACCGGAGGUGCUGGGGUUAAUCAGAAUUACUGGGCUUAAAGCGUGCGCAUGUGGUUAUCCAAAACAGGCCCGCAAUCCCCGGGCUUAACCUGGGAAUGGCGUCUGUGGCUGGGUAGAUUGGGUGUGUCGGAGGGGGGUGGAAUUCCACGUGUAUCAGUGAAAAGACUAAAUAUGUGGGGGAACCUCUGAGGCCAAAGCAGCCCCCUGGAACAAAACUGAAGGUCAUGCACCAAGGCGUGGGGAGCAAAUAGGAUUACAUGCCCUGGUACUCCACGCCCUAAACGAUCCUGACUAGUUUUUGGCAAUUUACAUUCUCCAUAACGUACCUGACGCGGGUAGUCCCCCGCCAGGGGAAUACUGUCGUUGAAAUU